RNAcentral lists this long non-coding RNA (2224 nucleotides) under Canis lupus familiaris (dog). Its description in RNAcentral is "lncRNA (ENSCAFG00000057862.1)". Lineage: Eukaryota; Metazoa; Chordata; Mammalia; Carnivora; Canidae. The record is from RNAcentral.
CCAGGACUGCGCGGGUGGAGCCUGUCAAGCGCUCUGGUCUCGCGGGCCCUUGGAAGUCGCCUGCACCGCACCUGUUCGAGUUAUAAGGCAUUCCAGGUGUCCAGGUUUAAGUCUCCGUGGGGACCUGCGUGCCACCCGUCUCCCUGACAACACGGGGGAAGGUCUGGCCGAGUCUGGGGGCUCAGAGGCUUUCAGGGCUCUGGCCCUUUCCCGCAGUGCCGACGGCUCGCUCCAAACCUGUCCCCGCCCAGCUGCGGCAACAGAUGACAGUUGGCCCCAAGCGACGCAAAUGGUUACUAUUUAUCUCCAGACACGGAGAAUCCAUUUUAGCAUUGCCAGAGAGUCCUAUCCAGCUCAGACAGGGAUGCUUAAGACAGUGUUCAAGCUCGUGUGGAUUUUAAAUAAAUAUAAAAGAAGUUAUUUUUUUCAGACUUUAUUUAUUCAUGAGAGGCAAGACAUAGGCAGAUGGAGAAGGAGGCUUCCCCUGCAGGGAGCCGGAUGUGGGACUCCAGACCGCGACCUGAGCGGAAGGCAGACGCUCAACCACUGAGCUACCCAGGUGACCCUAAAAUAAAUUAUUUUUUAUGUUAACCCAUAGGACGCAAACCCAUGCUACAUCAGUCAAGGUAGAUCAGAUUUAGGGCUGUGAACUGUCCCGUCACUCACUAGAAUACUCCAAACAAAAGCAAUUGGUUCUAAUAGGGUUUCCCUAUGUCAGUAUUUUUCUUCUAAAGGGAAAUAUCCUCUGACUUAAAAAAAAAAAAAAUCCAUUGACAGCUGUUGGCCAUAUCAUUAUUUUUAUAACAUGGUACAGCACAUUUAUUUCCCGUAUUUCCUUAUUUCACAAAAAUGGAUUUCCUCUAAUGUCCUUGAUUUAGAACACUGCUUUGCAAUCCCACACCGGUUUGAACUGGAUUUGUUAGUUCAGAUUGACUCAGUUAAGGAGUGUGGAUUUCGUUGUUUUUUUUAAAUUUUUUAUUUAAUUUUAAGUUAUCAUGCAGUAAAAUGUACCCUUUUUGCCAAACAGUUCUUUGAGACCUGACAAGUUGAUAAUCAUGUAACCACCACCACAAUCAAGAUACAGAAUAGUUCCAUUUGCCCCCAGAGUUCCCUCAUGCUGACCCUUUGUGGUCUGUGCUUCCUCCUACCCACAUCCAUAACAGUGCCCCCUCUAUCCCUAAAGUUUUGUCUUUGUGUGAAUAUCAUUAUCAAUGAAUCAUCCUACGGCACACAACCUUUUGAGACUCACUCUUUCAUUUAGCAUAAUGCAUUUGAAUUUCAUCUGAAUCAAUACUUCGGUUCUUUUUAUUACUUUAUAUUCCAUUUUGAUGUGCCGUGAUUUAUCCAUUCACCAUUUGAAGGGCAGUCUCUGGCACUUAUGAAUAACACUGCUAUACAUGCUGGCAUACAGAUUCUGUAUCACUCUACAAUUUUUUUUCACUUGGGAGUAACAUUGUGGUUUUUGGUGCUAUUAGAAGGAUCCUGUCUGUAUAAUUCCUAUUUUUAAUUGCUCACAGCUAGUAUCUAAAAAUACUUUCUAUUUUUGUAUAUUACUUCAUAUCCUGUGAUCUGGCUAAAUUUGUAGUUCUAGGAACUACCUUGUAGAUUCCUUCUAACCACUAACUUUUAGCUAGAAUCCACAAACUCUGAUGUUAUAUUUUUUCAUUCAGUUUAAAAUAUUUUCUGAUUUUUUUCUUGUGACUUUUCUAUGACUCAUAGAUUACUUAGAAGUGUACUUUGUAAUUUCAAAAUGUUUUGGUGUUUCCCAGAUAUCUUACUGUAAUUGAUUAUUAGUUUAAUUUCAUUAUGACCAGAAAAUGUACUUUGCAAAAUUUUAAUUAUUUCAAGUUUGUUAAUGUUUGUUUUAUGACCCAAAAUAUGGCCUAUUGUGAUGAAUGUCUCAUGUGCACUUGAGAAGAAUGUGUAUCCUAUUGUUUUUGGAUAGAAUGUUUUAUAAAUCUAGAUUGAGUUGAUUUAUAGUUCAGGUCUUGUAUAUUUUGCUGAUUUUCUGCACUAAACAUUAUUAAUUAUUGAGAGAAGACUGUUGAAAUCUCCAGGAAUAAUUAUGAACUUUCUUUUUCAUUCUAUGAUGAUUUGUUCCAUGAAUUUAGAGCAGGCACAUUUAGGAAUGGUGUGCCUUCUUGGUGGUCUUUUUACUAUUAUGUAGUGUUCUUUUUGAUCCCCUAUUCAUCAUUUUUCUUUUGAAAUCUACUUUGUCUAUAUU